RNAcentral lists this ribosomal RNA (489 nucleotides) under uncultured bacterium. Its description in RNAcentral is "partial 16S ribosomal RNA". It matches the Rfam family "Bacterial small subunit ribosomal RNA", at positions 28 to 507 of the family's 1533-position model. The record is from RNAcentral.
GAUGAACGCUAGCUACAGGCUUAACACAUGCAAGUCGAGGGGCAGCAUGAUUGAAGCUUGCUUCAAUCGAUGGCGACCGGCGCACGGGUGAGUAACACGUAUCCAACCUGCCGAUAACUCGGGGAUAGCCUUUCGAAAGAAAGAUUAAUACCCGAUAGUAUAGUAUUUCCGCAUGGUUUCACUAUUAAAGAACUUCGGUUAUCGAUGGGGAUGCGUUCCAUUAGAUAGUUGGCGGGGUAACGGCCCACCAAGUCAACGAUGGAUAGGGGUUCUGAGAGGAAGGUCCCCCACAUUGGAACUGAGACACGGUCCAAACUCCUACGGGAGGCAGCAGUGAGGAAUAUUGGUCAAUGGACGAGAGUCUGAACCAGCCAAGUAGCGUGAAGGAUGACUGCCCUAUGGGUGGUAAACUUCUUUUAUACGGGAAUAAAGUGGAGUAUGCAUACUCCUUUGUAUGUACCGUAUGAAUAAGGAUCGGCUAACUCCGUG